CAAUAGCGUAUAUUAAAGUUGUUGCAGUUAAAAAGCUCGUAGUUGGACUUCUGCGGGUGGCGGCCGGUCGUGCUCGAAACGGGCGUGAACUUGGCGUGCUGCCCGCAUCUUUGGGGAGAUUGUGCGUGGCAUUAAGUUGUCGUGCAUGGGAUUCUCAUCAUUUACUGUGAAAAAAUUAGAGUGUUUAAAGCGGGCCUUUGCCUUGAAUACAUUAGCAUGGAAUAAUAAGAUAGGACCGUUGUCUAUUUUGUUGGUUUACAGAUGUCGGUAAUGAUUAAUAGGGAUAGUUGGGGGUAUUCGUAUUCAGUUGUCAGAGGUGAAAUUCUUGGAUUUUCGGAAGACGCACGACUGCGAAAGCAUUUACCAAGGAUGUUUUCAUUAA
This 382-nucleotide ribosomal RNA is filed under the name uncultured eukaryote. Its description in RNAcentral is "partial 18S ribosomal RNA". It matches the Rfam family "Eukaryotic small subunit ribosomal RNA", at positions 592 to 976 of the family's 1831-position model. The record is from RNAcentral.